Molecule: long non-coding RNA, 246 nt
Filed under: Bos taurus (domestic cattle)
Lineage: Eukaryota; Metazoa; Chordata; Mammalia; Artiodactyla; Bovidae
Description: long non-coding RNA NONBTAT025460
Source: RNAcentral
UGAUAACUAUAUUUUAAACCAAAAAAUUCCUCACAUAAUAAAUACAUUUUAUGCACAUUAACUUCAAAUUUACUUCAGAAAGCUAUUUACAAUAUAAAUAAUUAUAAAUGGGAACACUUUGCAAGAUAUCAUUGACAAAGCUAAUAUUUUCUACUUUACAUUCCAAAGUAAAAGUUCAAAUUACAGACUUAUACUACGAUGUCACUAAAAACUAUACAUUGCAAGAUGGUAUUUGAAAUAUUGGCA